GGAAUAUUGGACAAUGGGCGCAAGCCUGAUCCAGCCAUGCCGCGUGUGUGAAGAAGGCCUUCGGGUUGUAAAGCACUUUUGUACGGGAAGAAAUCGCUUGGGUUAAUACCCUGGGAGGAUGACGUUACCGUAAGAAUAAGCACCGCCUAACUUCGUGCCAGCCGCCGCGGUAAUCCGAAGGGUGCAAGCGUUACUCGGAAUUACUGGGCGUAAAGCGUGCGUAGGUGGGUCGUUGAGUCUGCCGUGAAAGCCCCGGGCUCAACCUGGGAAUUGCGGUGGAUACUGGCGGACUAGAGUGCGGUAGAGGGUGGUGGAAUUCCCGGUGUAGCAGUGAAAUGCGUAGAGAUCGGGAGGAACAUCUGUGGCGAAGGCGGCCACCUGGACCAGCACUGACACUGAGGCACGAAAGCGUGGGGAGCAAAC
RNAcentral lists this ribosomal RNA (423 nucleotides) under uncultured bacterium. Its description in RNAcentral is "bacterial SSU rRNA". It matches the Rfam family "Bacterial small subunit ribosomal RNA", at positions 358 to 773 of the family's 1533-position model. The record is from RNAcentral.